CCUACGGGGGGCUGCAGUGGGGAAUAUUGGACAAUGGGGGCAACCCUGAUCCAGCCAUGCCGCGUGUGUGAAGAAGGCCCUCGGGUUGUAAAGCACUUUCAGUGAGGAAGAACGCCUGGUGGUUAAUACCCAUCAGGAAAGACAUCACUCACAGAAGAAGCACCGGCUAACUCCGUGCCAGCAGCCGCGGUAAUACGGAGGGUGCGAGCGUUAAUCGGAAUUACUGGGCGUAAAGCGCGCGUAGGUGGCUUGAUAAGCCGGUUGUGAAAGCCCCGGGCUCAACCUGGGAACGGCAUCCGGAACUGUCAAGCUAGAGUGUAGGAGAGGAAGGUAGAAUUCCCGGUGUAGCGGUGAAAUGCGUAGAGAUCGGGAGGAAUACCAGUGGCGAAGGCGGCCUUCUGGACUGACACUGACACUGAGGUGCGAAAGCGUGGGUAGCAAACAGGAUUAGAUACCCCGGUAGUC
This 465-nucleotide ribosomal RNA is filed under the name Vreelandella stevensii. RNAcentral's name for it is "partial 16S ribosomal RNA". It matches the Rfam family "Bacterial small subunit ribosomal RNA", at positions 338 to 795 of the family's 1533-position model. The record is from RNAcentral. Lineage: Bacteria; Pseudomonadati; Pseudomonadota; Gammaproteobacteria; Oceanospirillales; Halomonadaceae.